UACGGAAGGCAGCAGUGGGGAAUAUUGCACAAUGGGCGCAAGCCUGAUGCAGCCAUGCCGCGUGUAUGAAGAAGGCCUUCGGGUUGUAAAGUACUUUCAGCGGGGAGGAAGGCGAUGUGGUUAAUAACCGCGUCGAUUGACGUUACCCGCAGAAGAAGCACCGGCUAACUCCGUGCCAGCAGCCGCGGUAAUACGGAGGGUGCAAGCGUUAAUCGGAAUUACUGGGCGUAAAGCGCACGCAGGCGGUCUGUUAAGUCAGAUGUGAAAUCCCCGGGCUUAACCUGGGAACUGCAUUUUGAAACUGGCAGGCUUGAGUCUCGUAGAGGGGGUAGAAUUCCAGGUGUAGCGGUGAAAUGCGUAGAGAUCUGGAGGAAUACCGGUGGCGAAGGCGGCCCCUGGACGAGACUGACGCUCAGGUGCGAAAGCGUGGGGAGCAAACAGGAUUAGAUACC
Molecule: ribosomal RNA, 452 nt
Filed under: uncultured bacterium
Lineage: Bacteria
Description: bacterial SSU rRNA
Rfam family: Bacterial small subunit ribosomal RNA
Source: RNAcentral